CAUCAUCUAAGAAUCCUCCAUCCCCUUUCCCCUUGGAUGACCAGCUCCUGUUUCAGCUUGUCUACACAGUUGAUAGAGGACCUAUGCCUAGAGUUAGCAGGCUCCUGGAGCCCCAACACAGGUAUUUGGAGCCCAGAGGCUGCUCUGCACGCCAUUCAUCCACGAGUGUUUCUUUUCCAGUCAGUACCAAAACAGACUGAGCCUACAUUGCCUCAUCUCAUUACAUGUUCCGGACUGCUAACAACCACCCCACCCCCACAGCUGGAGGCUUUUUGACUUUUUUAAGUGCAUGCUCAAGUUUACGUAAGUAAAUCAAACAACAUGGCGAACUGGAUUACAUAAAUGCAAAUUAGAUCAGUAAGUGGAACCGUGCUACAGUCACUUCCUGCACAAAGCACUCUUCUCCAUUUCACUUGCCGAACGCCCAUUUUGUAACACUGAGGCGGCAGGAGCUGGGCAGGAGCGGCGGGGGAGGGGGCAGCGCCUCCGCCUCUUCCCGGGGAGGAUUGGCGGGAAGCGGCCAUCCCGCCCACCCGUUUGGCGGGACGCUUAAAGUGCGCUGGAGCAGCCGGGAACCCCUUGAGUUCCCGCUCGGCGCCGCCAUGUCUACCCCUGCCAAGCGGCACUGCCAGAGCCCCGCCGGCUCCCUCGAAUCCAGCUUCCAGAAGCGCCUCAGGAAGAUUUCCAUCGAGGGGAACAUCGCUGCGGGGAAGUCAACGUUUGUCAGGCUGCUGGAGAAACACAGCGAUGAGUGGGAGAUCAUCCCCGAGCCCAUCGCUAAGUGGUGCAACAUCAAGACGGCCGAGGAUGAGUAUGAGGAACCUUCAACAUCUCAGAAGAGUGGAGGAAACUUACUUCAAAUGCUGUAUGACAAACCCACAAGAUGGGCUUACACAUUUCAGACUUAUGCCUGCUUGAGCCGAGUAAAAGCACAAUUAAAACCUCUCUCAGCCAAGCUAUAUGAAGCAGAACAUCCAGUGCAAUUUUUUGAAAGAUCUGUGUACAGUGACAGAUAUGUGUUUGCUUCUAACCUGUUCGAGUCUGGAAACAUUAAUGAAACAGAAUGGUCCAUUUAUCAGGACUGGCACACAUGGCUUUUGAAUCAGUUUCAAUCAGAUAUAGAACUGGAUGGCAUGAUCUAUCUCAGAACCACACCUCAGAAAUGCAUGGAAAGGCUACAGAUGAGGGGAAGAAAAGAGGAGCAAGGAAUUGAGCUUGAGUAUUUGGAAAACCUCCACUAUAAACAUGAAACCUGGCUUCAUGAAAGGACUAUGAGGUAGGAAUCCAUUUUCUGUAGCAAGUUUCAACUUGCAGGCAAGGCUCUUUCCUACCAUAAAGCCUUAGUUUUACCAAGUUUAGGGCAAGUCUAGUUUCACUCAGGCAGCUGGAUACACUCAUAUUUGUACCCACUUCAGAUUUCAAGAGAUGUAACUUCAUCUAAUUUGAAACCUUUGUUAAGCAUUGGCUUCAACUAGAAAGUUUUACAGUUGUAACUCCAGCAAGGACAUGGAUUUUGCUAAUUGGAAGGACUGAGGAACAAGACACUUAAAAUGGUGGCCAGGGAACAAUCACAUACAUUUCUCACCACACAGCUUCUGUUGCAAUGUAAGGGGCAAACAAGGCCCCUGCUACCUUUAAACUAGCAGGACUGCAUUUCAACAAAGUUUAAAUAUUAAUCCUAACUUAAAUUUAAAACAAUAAUCAGAAAGGCUUUUGGCAGACCUGCUACACACAAGAAACCUAAUUAGCAACUGAGUGAUGUCUGCACACCUUCCUUUGAGUUCCUUACUGACUCUUACUGAAGAACCUCUGAAUAUGAAAACAGACUCGAGAUUUUUCCCUAGAGGAGUCCAAAAUAUUCUACUGAAGGGGAAGCAUUACAAUUCCAGGAAAGGUACAUUAUCAGUUUAAUCUACUUGCUGAAGUUUCACAUAGGAUGACCCAAGUGUUUAGGAGACAGAAGGCAGUGCAUAGUGUGGAAUUUUGGGAAUGUUUACGUUGUGUACUCACUUCCUGAGUUUGGAAUAGGAACUGAAGCGUGCAAGCAAAAGUUAGAAUGUUGUUGAGCACACAAACUGCAUUUUAGAAAUGCCUUCUACGCUCAGAAAAACUAACUACUGCUCCCAUCUGUUCCCAAACUGAAGCCAAAAUGGUCUUAUAAUAAUAAUGACUGGUUAUAAAUACCAGUCUUAUAACCUGUUAAAGAGGUCAUCCUUAUGAAAGGAAGCUUUAAAAUUGCAUCUCGGUCAAGUCAUUCCUGACUUCUUUAGAAGAUGAAAAUUAAUUCGAAUAACAAGUCCCUGAAGUUGACUCAACAAUCUGUGUGUUUAAAAAUUUACUUAAAACAAAAUGCAUUACCUAUAUAGCUUAUUUUUAAAGCAAGCCCGAAAUGCAACAACAUGAUUUGGAGUUGAUUUUUAUCUUUUUAUGAGCAGUGUGGCUUUUGAUAAACUUUUUUGUAUAACUAAAAAGAACAAAUAUGGGGUGCUUUGAUAGUGGUUGUUUUUUUCUGUAUAUUCUCUGUUGUUUAAUAAAGAUUUAAAAGUAAUAUUGCCUCUCGAGUGACUGUCCCCACGGGGGAGCUCAGCGAGAGGCCGACACCCAGCAAACAGAUAGCAGGCGCUGAGCAGGGCUGUUUUGCAAUAACUGGCACGAGUUCACCAUUUUAAGACGAGACUGUUAUGGCGUCCAGAAACCUUUACUUUCAACUUCUGCUUUACUGAGUGGCCGUUUCCACCGGAUUUACGCUACUUAAGGCUGGACGUUAGAC
Onychostruthus taczanowskii (white-rumped snowfinch) is the source of this 2770-nucleotide RNA transcript. It is a transcript of the gene named deoxycytidine kinase 2, with no coding region annotated. NCBI's taxonomy places the organism in Eukaryota, Metazoa, Chordata, Aves, Passeriformes, Passeridae. The record is from RefSeq and is a predicted model, not a curated record. The transcript has 6 exons.